GAACGCUGGCGGCAUGCCUUACACAUGCAAGUCGAACGGCAGCACGGGAGCAAUCCUGGUGGCGAGUGGCGAACGGGUGAGUAAUAUAUCGGAACGUGCCCAGUCGUGGGGGAUAACGUAGCGAAAGCUACGCUAAUACCGCAUACGAUCUAUGGAUGAAAGCGGGGGAUCGCAAGACCUCGCGCGAUUGGAGCGGCCGAUAUCAGAUUAGGUAGUUGGUGAGGUAAAGGCUCACCAAGCCGACGAUCUGUAGCUGGUCUGAGAGGACGACCAGCCACACUGGGACUGAGACACGGCCCAGACUCCUACGGGAGGCAGCAGUGGGAAUUUUGGACAAUGGGCGCAAGCCUGAUCCAGCAAUGCCGCGUGCAGGAUGAAGGCCUUCGGGUUGUAAACUGCUUUUGUACGGAACGAAACGGUGAGCUCUAAUACAGUUUGCUAAUGACGGUACCGUAAGAAUAAGCACCGGCUAACUACGUG
RNAcentral lists this ribosomal RNA (480 nucleotides) under uncultured bacterium. Its description in RNAcentral is "bacterial SSU rRNA". It matches the Rfam family "Bacterial small subunit ribosomal RNA", at positions 31 to 507 of the family's 1533-position model. The record is from RNAcentral.